RNAcentral lists this transfer RNA (56 nucleotides) under Loxodonta africana (African savanna elephant). It matches the Rfam family "tRNA", at positions 8 to 63 of the family's 71-position model. From Rfam's summary of the family: Transfer RNA (tRNA) molecules are approximately 80 nucleotides in length. Lineage: Eukaryota; Metazoa; Chordata; Mammalia; Proboscidea; Elephantidae. The record is from Rfam by way of RNAcentral.
UAGUUCAGUGGUACAAUGCUCACCUUCCAUGUGGGAGGCCUGGGUUUGAUUCCCAG